AAGCCCAACUACUCCCUUCCCUAAACCAUCGGUGUCUCUCUCUCAACAAAGUCACAAAAUCCCCAAUUCAACACACACAACCCUAAUCCAUUCUCCCUCCUCUCUCUCUCGGCGGUAUCGCCUCAUUCUCACCGCCACCGUCGACGCCUCUCGCCGGAUUAUGAGCUCGAUCUCUCAGCUGCUACACAGCACCGCCGCCCGAAGCCGGCCCUGGACCGGUGACAGCCGGUGUCGUUGCGUACGUGAGCUCAGCGAGGCAGCACCGCCAUCGCAGUCAGACACUCCGUAAGGCGGGGUUGUCGCCUGUGCUCCUCCGCCGCUCUCCGUUGAAAUCGCGGAGGAGUUCUCGGCAUCUCCGUCGCGCCGGCCAGUCCCGCCGUCGCCGCACGGCGGAGGCCUCGCCGCUUCCCGACGCGGUGGAACAGCCGUUACUGUCCCGGUUAGGGAGAAGGCGUCGCCUUUCCCUUCCUCCGGUUCCUCUCUAUAAGCUAAGUUUUGCUGCCUUCCUUUGCUUAGCUCAAAUCGGGGUUUAUUUAGCAACCUAUGUAAAAAUCGAUUCUUGACUAUUGGUGAUGUUCAAGCUUUGAUCUUGUGGGAGUUUGAUUAUUGAAUCCAUUAAUUGAGUUUGUGGCAGAAGCUCUAUGUUGUGAUUAAUGGGGAUUCCUUGAACUUGUUGGGAUUUAUUUGUUUGCUCACUGGAAAGAGCUUAACCCUUAAAAAGAACUUGCUACAAAACUAUAGCAUAAAGGCAGCCUAUCGUGCUUGUUUUAUAUUGAUUGUGAUUCCUAAGUUGUGGUGACUCUAUAUGAUGGCAUGAAAAAUGAUUGGGAGGAAAGGGUGGAGGUGUAUUACCUCUGAGAAUUGAAGGAGUGGCUGACUUGCUGCUGCUUACUACUUGCUCUACCCUCUAACUCUCUGUUUUUGCUGAAUUUUGAAGUGUGGGUGAAAGGAGUUGGUGUGUGGUGUGGAGGGGGAUUUAUAGGCAGAUUGUGGGGUACUCUUGAGCCUUAAAUGGCUGUUGUAUCGUUUGUUGCUAUGCUGCAGAAAUCUCACUUUUAGUGAUCUCCUUGUCUCUCCUUCAUGGCUGCAAAACUUGCAUCUUUAUGGGUACCUAGUACUAGUUAUUAAUUGGGGUUUGUUUGAUUUGUAGAGAGGCAGGGGAUGUGGUGCCAAGGGCUGCAUUAUGAAGGGUGUGCAGGCUGGAAUUCCCCUUUUUUGGCAAGUUCUUGGUCUUCAAGGAAAAAGAAGGUGAGAGGAAAUCUCGGCUCCCAUCCGGCAGCACUUCGAGCAGGCCCGGAUUCACCGAUUGGGCCGACGGGCCGCCCGAAACGGGCCCUAAGUCGGGCCUGAAGAAAAGGCCCGGAUGCACACCCCAUUUUAGAUAUUUUCCCUUCCAUGUUUAUCUUUCUUUGGGGACUUCAUCCGUGUAACUUAUCCUAUAAAUUGUUGUUCACUAAACAAAAGUCUUGUUCUAUAUUUUGAAGUGUUUGAUGGUUAGUUGUUCUUUUAUUGUAUAAGUAAAGCUACUCGAAAAUUUUUGAUA
Salvia hispanica is the source of this 1543-nucleotide long non-coding RNA. RefSeq lists it as uncharacterized. Lineage: Eukaryota; Viridiplantae; Streptophyta; Magnoliopsida; Lamiales; Lamiaceae. The record is from RefSeq and is a predicted model, not a curated record.